AAAAAGGCCCUUUUCAGGGCCACCAAAUAAUAAUUUUAAAAAAAAG
Non-coding RNA from Stegodyphus mimosarum, 46 nucleotides. Lineage: Eukaryota; Metazoa; Arthropoda; Arachnida; Araneae; Eresidae. The record is from Rfam.